Molecule: long non-coding RNA, 3566 nt
Filed under: Sus scrofa (pig)
Lineage: Eukaryota; Metazoa; Chordata; Mammalia; Artiodactyla; Suidae
Description: lncRNA (ENSSSCG00040045016.1)
Source: RNAcentral
ACCAACGGGCACCGAGAGGAGCCGAGGGGUGCCGGGCUCUGGAGGGAAAACCUGAGCUGACAUCUCAGGCUCUGCGCUGAGUGUCUGGGCGCCGGGAUGUGCGGACCGCUGGCUUGAACCCUUGGGCUGGAGACGCUGGAGCGGGCGGCUACAUUGUCGGGCGAAGAGUUACGUUGUUGCACUGGAGCGAUAGAGUAGAAUGUAUCUCUCACCGCGUUCCCAAAUUUGGCUCCGGAUUGGACUUUGGCAGUGUGUGUGGUUUGUCUGGGGCACCAACGAAGGUUUUAUUUACUUGAGAAGGACCGUCACAGCCCCACGACUUAAGCCCGAUAGAGGCAUUUCCCCCCCUAGAUUCUCGGAUCCGGGAGCGUAUGGCUGCUGAAUGAGAACGAGUUCUUUUCUAAACGAGUUUCUAAAUUUACCAGCAGUGCCCCGGAAGAAGCCAACGCAUGCAUAUUCAGCACCAAAAAGACUGGCACAGUUUUUUUUUUUUUUUUUUUUUGACAAACUGGGCCUCGUUCCUUGAAGGGUGGGCGGGAAUGUGCUUUCUGUUUUUAUGAAAAUGUCAAGGAACUUCUCUGAAUCACAUUAGGCAUGCUAAUUACAAAUAUUAAAUGCUAAUUGCUCUGUACACCUAGGUCUUUGCCUGCCAGGGAAGGGAGAUGAAACUGGAAUAAGCUACUGGUGACAUUAUGAUGGGGGUGUUUUAGGAGUGAUGUAUUGCAACCUCCACUUGGAGGUGGGAAGUCCUGUGUCUUAAGCCCAAAUGGAAAACACACUAGUGUUUAUGAGUUGCUGUAAGCCUCAAGCUUUCCAGCAAUAAUGAGCCUUAGUUGAGUUUAAGCUCCUGCUAAAGGGGAGGUGAGCCGAGGCAGGAAAAGAAUUGCCAGGAGAUGGCUCCCACGGAACUGUUACCCGGCCCAGGGUCAGGAUCAUGCAGCAGAUAAGAUAGGCAACGAGUGUGUCACUUACUGCUGGUUUGAUUGGGUUCAGCCGUAUUCUUGGGUUAUGGUGUUCACAUCACAGCCUGCACAGGGAGACAUUUAUGCCUUUGAGUUGUGAUAGCCUGUUCACUUCUGUGUCCCUGAGCCAAACUGCAAGCUCCAUGAGACUGGGGGUGGUGUCUAUAGUUGGCAGCACUCGGUUAUAGGCUGAGUGAACGUGGGAGGCCAGGGCGCAGUCCAGGCACCCAGUGGAGUCAGCUGGCUUGGCUUUCUUCCAGGUGCUGCACAGCUGAGCCCAGCGGAGGUGGGGUGGAGGGUGGCAUUCCUAGGGCACUGCAUGGCACUGGGGGACAGUGGAAGAGCAAAACUAUUCCUCCCUCCUGCAGGUUGAACAAAGCUGCUCCAGCAUGUGCCUCCUCAAAUGAAGACAAUGAAUGACACUCUUGGCUCUCCUGUAGAGGAGGCCUGCCAGAUCCUUGUCCCAGAGCACAGGCCCUGUCACAGCCUCCAGGGUUCAGAGACACGGAGCAGUUCUAGACUGACUGACACGCGUUCCUCCACGUGCUUGUGCAUCUUCCCUGGUCCCUGGGGAUCCAAGCAAUCUCCCCAUAAUGUGAAGCUUUAGUGAAAUGGAAAUAUAGCUGUACUCCAAACCCCCAAGGCUCUUGGCUCCAUCCCAUGGCUCAGUAGUGCCUAGACUUUGGCAAUUUGAAGUAAAACUUCAGAAACAUAUUAGGGGAGUUCCCUGGUGGCUCAGUGGGUUAAGGAUCCAGGGUCGUCAUUGUUGUGACUCUGGUUACAGCUGUGGCUUGGGUUUAACCCCUGGCCCAGGAACUGCCACAAGCCUCAGCCAAAAAAACCCCAAGAAAGAAACAACAGAAUGUAUUUGGCACUGUCAUCAGUUUGCCAACUUUCUCCUUUGCAAGACCAGACACUGAAAACUUAGACGUUGUCUCCAUUAUUCACUUCUCUUCUGACCAGCAAUAACCCCACUAAGCAAGGCUGGGGGCACACUGCCCUGCUUACAGCAUGUGGUCCUCAAACUAAAGCAUGUGUAAGAAGCAUCUGGAAAGUUAAGACCAGUGUCUGGGUCCAGCCCUCCAUCCCGAUAGUGCUGGUCUUGGGUGGAGGUUGGGGUUCUGCUUUUCUNUUUUUUUUUUUUUUUUUUUUUUUUUUGGGGGGGGGGGGGUCUUUUUAGGGCCGCACCCAUGACAUGGGUAAGUUCCCAGGCUAGAGGUCGAAAUCAGAGCUGUAGCCACCAGCCUACGCCACAGACACACUGCAACACAUAUCCAAGCUGCAUCCGUGACCUACACCACAGCUUGUGGCAAAACCAGAUCCUUAACCCACUGAAUGAGGCUAGGGAUUGAACUGCAUCCUCAUAGAUACUAUUUGAGUUCUUAACUUGCUGAGCUACAGUGAGAACUCCAGGGUUCUGCUUUUCUAAUGGGCUCCCAGGUGGUCUUCAGCAGAGACCAGUCUUUGAGUAGCACUGGCUUCAAGGUUCUCUGAACUUCUCCUACUUUUCAAGGUGCAACCCCGAUGCCCCUUUCAUGAAGCCUCCUUAAGCCAUCCUUAGUAGAGAAUAAUUUCUCACCUAGAAAAAUUCUUGGAGUCCCUGUCAUGGCUCAGUGGUAAUGAACCUGACUAGAAUCCAUGAGGAUGUGGGUUCCAUCCCUGGCCUCGCUCAGUGGGUUAAGGAUCCAGGGCUGCCGUGAGCUAUGUCGUAGGCCAAGAGCUACAGCUCUGAUUAGACCCCUUGCCUGGGAACUUCCAUAUGCCUCCGGUACACCCAAAAAAGACAAAAAAGUACAAAAAUGGAGUUCCCAGAGUUCCCUCAUGGCUCAGUGUGAAACCAAGCAGGCCCCAUGGGGCUCCUGGGCAUAAGCCUGCGUCCCUCAGUUCUUAUUUUUUAGGAAUAAGCUUCAGCCUCCAGGACCUUCCCUGAGUUCCAAAGGGCAGGCUCACCCAGUUGCUAAUGAAGGAAGGGAGGGGAUGCAGAGACUAGGGAGGAACAGUCUAGAAACAAUGGUACAGCCUUGGGGCAGGGUCCUGGCUCCUCCUCAGUGAAUAUACAGUAUCUUUGAGAUCUUCUGCAGAAUGAAAUGUCCCAACAAAUGAAAACCAGAGAGGAGGACCACCAGAACCAGUCCUGGGGCCACUAAACACCGGGCUUUGAAGAAUGAAAGCUUACAUCUAAACUAUUUCAUUUAGAAUGGAUAAGCAACAGGUCCUGCUGUACAGCACAGGCAACUGUAUCUAAUCACUUGUGCUAGAACAUGAUAGAAGAUAAUAUGGAUGCUAGUCGGGUUCGUUAACCACUGAGCCACAUGGGAACUGAUAGAAGAUAAUACAAGAAAAAGAAUGUAUAGAUAUGUAUGCCCGGGUCACUUUGCUGUACAGCAAAAAUUGAAAGAACAUUGUAGGAGUUCCCGUUGUGGUGCAGUGGUUAACAAAUCCGACUAGGAACCAUGAGGUUUCGGGUUCAAUCCCUGGCCUUGCUCAGUGGGUUAAGGAUCUGGCGUUUCUGUGGCUGUGGCAUAGGCCGGCGGCUCCAGCUCCAAUUCGACCCCUAGCCUGGGAACCUCCCUAUGCCGUGAGUGUGGCCCUAAAAAGCAAAAA